RNAcentral lists this ribosomal RNA (369 nucleotides) under uncultured Glomeromycotina. Its description in RNAcentral is "LSU rRNA". Lineage: Eukaryota; Fungi; Glomeromycota. The record is from RNAcentral.
UUGAAAGGGAAACGAUUGAAGUCAGUCGUGCUGGCGCGAAAUCAACCUUCUCGUCUUGAGAUCACAUGGCGUGGCGAGCCUCAAAACCGUCACGAAGCGUGAACUCUUGGUGAAAUGGAGCACUUUCGUGUCCGCUGGUUAACAUCAAUUUCGAACGUCAUAAAAAGGCUGGAGGGAUGUGGCUCCUUCGGGAGUGUUAUAACCUUUAGCGGAAUGUGGUGUUCGGGAUUGAGGAUUGCAACGAAUACCUUUAGGACUGUUCCACCUGGCUUCUCUUUGGUAUCCUGGUGACGACAGCUUGCUGACGUCGUUAGGAUUCGCCUUUGAACAGGCUAGAGUGUGAGCAAAUUCGUUAAGGAUGUUGACGUA